This 294-nucleotide ribosomal RNA is filed under the name Triticum aestivum (bread wheat). RNAcentral describes it as "partial small subunit ribosomal RNA". The record is from RNAcentral. Lineage: Eukaryota; Viridiplantae; Streptophyta; Magnoliopsida; Poales; Poaceae.
AUGAACAGUAAUAGGGCUCCUGGGUCGGAUAGCAUCCCAGACGAGUUCUACCAAUAUUGUUGGGAGAUAGUGAAGAAUGACAUUAUGUGUUUGUUUCAUGCUUUUCAUGAAGGGAGUUUGGAUGUAUAUAGGUUGAAUUACGGCAUUAUUAAUCUUCUCCCUAAAAUCUCUGGAGCAGAUAAGAUUCAACAAUUCAGACCAAUAUGUCUGUUGAGAUGUCCCUAUAAACUGAUUACAAAAGUUUUAUAUAAUAGAGUGGCCCUUUUUGCUGACAUUCUGUUUAGCAAACAUUAA